RNAcentral lists this ribosomal RNA (460 nucleotides) under uncultured bacterium. Its description in RNAcentral is "partial 16S ribosomal RNA". It matches the Rfam family "Bacterial small subunit ribosomal RNA", at positions 338 to 795 of the family's 1533-position model. The record is from RNAcentral.
CCUACGGGAGGCAGCAGUGAGGAAUAUUGGUCAAUGGACGAGAGUCUGAACCAGCCAUGCCGCGUGAAGGAAGACUGCCCUAUGAGUUGUAAACUUCUUUUAUACAAGAAUAAAACGAGGCACGUGUACCUUUCUGCAAGUACUUUAUGAAUAAGGAUCGGCUAACUCCGUGCCAGCAGCCGCGGUAAUACGGAGGAUCCGAGCGUUAUCCGGAUUUAUUGGGUUUAAAGGGAGCGUAGGUGGAUUGUUAAGUUAGUGGUGAAAGUUUGCAGCUUAACCCUGGAAUUGCCACUUAUACUGUUAGUCUAGAGAGCAGAUGCGGUAGGCGGAAUGUAUGGUGUAGCGGUGAAAUGCUUAGAGAUCAUACAGAACACCGAUUGCGAAGGCAGCUUACCAAUCUAUAUCUGACGUUGAGGCACGAAAGCGUGGGGAGCAAACAGGAUUAGAUACCCGGGUAGUC